Molecule: long non-coding RNA, 2442 nt
Filed under: Nicotiana benthamiana
Lineage: Eukaryota; Viridiplantae; Streptophyta; Magnoliopsida; Solanales; Solanaceae
Description: long non-coding RNA (NBEN_LNC042164)
Source: RNAcentral
CAGCACUUGGCUUAUUUAAUUACUGGUUUUUAAACCUAUGUGCCUUUAUUUCUUUCCGCUUUUAAUUAGAAACUAUCUGAAACGGGUUAUGCGUAUGUAUAUCGGCCUGUUUGGUGCGGAUGUGGAACUGGUGACUCAAUAAUCACAAUUGAGUAUAGCAUAUUCUUUAACUAAACAGAUAAUACUAGGCAUUGAUUUUACAUGUAGCCACAAACAUGCUGAAUUUAUCACGGAAUCACAUCAACAACAGACAAACCAAAUAGUGGUUAAAAAUCAAUAGCUAUGCUCUGUCGAGUUCUUCAAAUUUCAAUGACGAAGCUUGAAGAAGCAAAAGAGAUCUUAUAACAUACACGAAUAGCAAGAGUUGUUCAAUACCACAUAUUGCAAACCCAGGAUGAAAUUUGUUAUUGCAGCUAUGUAUUAACUCAAUCCUAAGCAUAUGAGCUUAGCCUAGCGUUGAGCCAUAAAUAUAGGAAGGCAAUACUGUCAAGCCAAAUGAAGAACUAGAGACCUUCAAGCUACCAAACAUGGACAUCUGUAGCUCAGUCAAGCUGAAACUAUCACGAACUUGGAGUGAUUUUCUUAUCCUAACUGAACCAAUAGCUAAUUGUAAUAGAUGACACAAUCAUGUUCCACAAUCCCCUUUGACAAGGUAUUAAAAUGAAUGUAUGCAGACUUCAUAGCUGUAAAAUCUCCUGCAGCAACCAUCUAAACCACAAACAUACGUUGGCCAACAGUGAAUGCUCUAGCAUCUUCAACAGAAGGGAAUGCGCAGCUAAUAAUGAUCGAAAUCAAAAAAGGCAAACAGAUACAAUCUAGAAUACUUAAAAUAUGAGUACAUUAACAUGCUGCAAUCAGAUGCAUUGAUGCAUUGAGAAGAUACUAGCAUAGCUUGUAAACCACAUUAUCAUAGGAUUGUCUAUGCAUUAUCCAUAACUAUCAAUGUAAAAAAAACUACUGCUAGUCGAAAAUCUUGAGUUCAGUCCAAAACAUCACAUUAUUUCAACCUUAGGGCACAUCAAAGUCAAGGAAAUCAGCAUAACAAACAAAACUAUAUUUGAGGCAACAGGUAAAAUGGAAGAGAAGAAACAGAUAGCUAUAUAUAUUUCUUUCAAUUUCUCAUUAAAAUUUCUAACACAUGCGAGGACCCCUGCAAUCACUUGCUGCUCAUGGUUGGCAGAUUUACCUGGAAAUGAGGCAAAAAUCAAGAGAUAGGAAAUUAGUGAUCUGGUGACAGAAGAGCAGCAACAGAGAUCCCCAAAGCAUUUCAAAAUCCAAACUCAAAACAUUUCAAUCAAAGAGAGAGCAUGAAUAAUGAAUUUAUCAUUGAAGAAACUCCGAACCCCAAAGAGUGUAAUGAAAUAAUGUUUUUUAUUUUGCCUUCAGCUAUUUCUCUUAUAUUUUUGAAUGCUCCCUAUGAAGGACCCCCCUAAGGCAAGAAAAUGUGUCCUUUUAUGGGCAAAGAAAUAGGGCACCACUGUGAAAUUCAUUUUUCCUCUUAGUCCUUGUAAUAUUGGCUUGCUUGCCAAGUAAAGCAACUUUUCUAGCUUCUAGGAAGCUUCCUAGGCAACUAUACUCAGAUUCCCUAACGCUUUACCCAAUCUACCCCUGAAUUCCCUUGAUUUUACUGCAAAAGACUUAAUGGUUAUAGGUCCAAUGACCUAACAAUUGAACCAUGCCUGGGCUCAAACUGAACUAUGAGAUAAAUUCACGGCUCAGACAACACACAAAAUUUUUAAACUCAAACUACAUUAGAAUAGCCCGACAACAAAGAAUGCAAAAAUUAGCUCAGCUGACCAACCGAAUUUAAACAAAAUAGGCCAGAAAACUCACAGAUUUUUUUUUAAAAAAAAAACUGGUAUAAAGAGAACAAAAUGGGCAAAACCAAUUCUGUCUAAAACUUGUCUUUAAAAAUUUGCACUAGAAAGGAAAGAAGAAGGGGGGGGAAGGGACAAGAAAUGAGAAGCCAAGUAGUGAACGGAAUAGAAAAAGAUGAAGAUACUCACUAAGUUUGGACUCAUCCUCGACUGACCUUCUGAUUUAAACCACAAAGGGAUAUUAGUCGUCUGUUUUUUUCUUCAAUAACAGGUGAAUAACAUCGCUUUGUGAUAAUACUGGCAUUGAAUGUUCAUAGACCUUGGAGAGAUACCCUUUGCAUGAACGGGUUUCGACUUUGGCUUUUAGGGUUGGAAAUCUACAUCCAAGAUUCAAGAAAUUUCGGUUGGAUUUGGUGAAAAAUGGUUUGAUAUUUGAGCUGAGAGGGCCAAGGUGAGUUUAUGGUGUAAUUUUCGUGGAGAUUGAAGACUUUCCGCCGGCGACCAUGGCUGAGUCGCUCAGGCACAACAUAAGUUUCGUGAAGAAGAUGAGAGAAAAGGAUCGGUUUGGUCUUAGGUUAAUAGGGAAUUUCGGACACUUUUAAGAGAAUAAGGGAACUGACACCGG